Molecule: ribosomal RNA, 467 nt
Filed under: uncultured bacterium
Lineage: Bacteria
Description: partial 16S ribosomal RNA
Rfam family: Bacterial small subunit ribosomal RNA
Source: RNAcentral
GAUGAACGCUGGCGGCGUGCUUAACACAUGCAAGUCGAACGGAAAGGCCUCUGCUUGCAGGGGUACUCGAGUGGCGAACGGGUGAGUAACACGUGGGUGAUCUGCCCUGCACUUCGGGAUAAGCCUGGGAAACUGGGUCUAAUACCGGAUAGGACAAUGGUUUGGAUGCUGUUGUGGAAAGUUUUUCGGUGUGGGAUGAGCUCGCGGCCUAUCAGCUUGUUGGUGGGGUAAUGGCCUACCAAGGCGUCGACGGGUAGCCGGCCUGAGAGGGUGUACGGCCACAUUGGGACUGAGAUACGGCCCAGACUCCUACGGGAGGCAGCAGUGGGGAAUAUUGCACAAUGGGCGCAAGCCUGAUGCAGCGACGCCUCGUGGGGGAUGACGGCCUUCGGGUUGUAAACUCCUUUCGCUAGGGACGAAGCGUUUUUGUGACGGUACCUGGAGAAGAAGCACCGGCUAACUACGUG